This 497-nucleotide ribosomal RNA is filed under the name uncultured bacterium. RNAcentral describes it as "partial 16S ribosomal RNA". It matches the Rfam family "Bacterial small subunit ribosomal RNA", at positions 28 to 507 of the family's 1533-position model. The record is from RNAcentral.
GAUGAACGCUGGCGGCGUGCCUAAUACAUGCAAGUCGAGCGAACGGACGAGAAGCUUGCUUUUCUGAUGUUAGCGGCGGACGGGUGAGUAACACGUGGAUAACCUACCUAUAAGACUGGGAUAACUUCGGGAAACCGGAGCUAAUACCGGAUAAUAUUUUGAACCGCAUGGUUCAAAAGUGAAAGACGGUCUUGCUGUCACUUAUAGAUGGAUCCGCGCUGCAUUAGCUAGUUGGUAAGGUAACGGCUUACCAAGGCAACGAUGCAUAGCCGACCUGAGAGGGUAGUCGGCCACAGUGGAACUGAGACACGGUCCGGACUCCUACGGGAGGCAGCAGUAGGGAAUCUUCCGCGAUGGGCGAAAGCCUGACGGAGCAACGCCGCGUGAGUGAUGAAGGUCUUCGGAUCGUAAAACUCUGUUAUUAGGGAAGAACAUAUGUGUAAGUAACUGUGCACAUCUUGACGGUACCUAAUCAGAAAGCCACGGCUAAGUACGUG